Molecule: ribosomal RNA, 700 nt
Filed under: uncultured Enterobacteriaceae bacterium
Lineage: Bacteria; Pseudomonadati; Pseudomonadota; Gammaproteobacteria; Enterobacterales; Enterobacteriaceae
Description: bacterial SSU rRNA
Rfam family: Bacterial small subunit ribosomal RNA
Source: RNAcentral
UGUAAACGAUGUCGAUUUGGAGUUUGUUGCCUAGAGUGAUGGGCUCCGAAGCUAACGCGAUAAAUCGACCGCUGGGGAGUACGGCCGCAAGGUUAAAACUCAAAUGAAUUGACGGGGGCCCGCACAAGCGGUGGAGCAUGUGGUUUAAUUCGAUGCAACGCGAAGAACCUUACCUGGUCUUGACAUCCAUAGAAUUCUGCAGAGAUGUGGGAGUGCCUUCGGGAACUAUGAGACAGGUGCUGCAUGGCUGUCGUCAGCUCGUGUUGUGAAAUGUUGGGUUAAGUCCCGCAACGAGCGCAACCCUUAUUCUUUGUUGCCAGCGAUUUGGUCGGGAACCCAAAGGAGACUGCCGUUGAUAAAGCGGAGGAAGGUGGGGACGACGUCAAGUCAUCAUGGCCCUUACGACCAGGGCUACACACGUGCUACAAUGGCGUAUACAAAGGGAAGCGAAGGUGCGAGCUGGAGCGGAUCUCAUAAAGUACGUCUAAGUUCGGAUUGGAGUCUGCAACUCGACUCCAUGAAGUCGGAAUCGCUAGUAAUCGUAGAUCAGAAUGCUACGGUGAAUACGUUCCCGGGCCUUGUACACACCGCCCGUCACACCAUGGGAGUGGGUUGCACCAGAAGUAGAUAGCUUAACCGCGAGGGGGGCGUUUACCACGGUGUGAUUCAUGACUGGGGUGAAGUCGUAACAAGGUAACCA